This 406-nucleotide ribosomal RNA is filed under the name uncultured bacterium. Its description in RNAcentral is "partial 16S ribosomal RNA". It matches the Rfam family "Bacterial small subunit ribosomal RNA", at positions 30 to 526 of the family's 1533-position model. The record is from RNAcentral.
AUUGAACGCUGGCGGCAAGACUAACACAUGCAAGUCGAACGAGUGGCGGACGGGUGAGUAAUGUCUGGGAAACUGCCUGAUGGCGGGGGAUAACUCCUGGAAACGGUAGCUAAUACCGCAUACCAUCGGAUGUGCCCAGAUGGGAUUAGCUAGUAGGUGGGGUAAAGGCACACCGAGGCGACGAUCCCUAGCUGGUCUGAGAGGAAGACCAGCCACACUGGAACUGAGACACGGUCCCGACUCCUACGUGAGGCAGCAGUGGGGAAUAUUGCACAAUGGGCGCAAGCCUGAUGCAGCCAUGCCGCGUGUAUGAAGAAGGCCUUCGGGUUGUAAAGUACUUUCAGCGGGGAGGCGUUACCCGCAGAAGAAGCACCGGCUAACUCCGUGCCAGCCGCCGCGGUAAUUC